RNAcentral lists this long non-coding RNA (302 nucleotides) under Nicotiana benthamiana. RNAcentral's name for it is "long non-coding RNA (NBEN_LNC024490)". The record is from RNAcentral. Lineage: Eukaryota; Viridiplantae; Streptophyta; Magnoliopsida; Solanales; Solanaceae.
CAGGAUUAAGUGUUCUUGUUAGCAUACCUAUUGCACUAGUGUUGCUAGAAGCGUUAUCCAUAAAAAUUGACAUUAUUUUAUCACUAAUGCAAAAAUAUCUGCAUAUAUCUGAAACAGUGUUAGCUAUAAACCUACCCGUGUAAUUUUAUAUACUUAACUAAACUACACGUGCCGCUACGAUCUCCAGUAUACCUAUGAACAAGUAAUUUCCCACAAGAUUUACACUUAGCCUUAUCUUGUUCUCUUAGUUGAAUAAAAAAUUGCCAAACUAGUGAUGUUUCUGUACGUUUAGGAGGUUGUCU